RNAcentral lists this ribosomal RNA (921 nucleotides) under Acrobeloides apiculatus. Its description in RNAcentral is "SSU rRNA". It matches the Rfam family "Eukaryotic small subunit ribosomal RNA", at positions 39 to 966 of the family's 1831-position model. The record is from RNAcentral. Lineage: Eukaryota; Metazoa; Nematoda; Chromadorea; Rhabditida; Cephalobidae.
AAAGAUUAAGCCAUGCAUGUCUAAGUACAAACGAUUUAAUCGUGAAACCGCGAAUGGCUCAUUAUAACAGCUAUAAUUUACUUGAUCUUGACACAAUCCUACUUGGAUAACUGUGGUAAUUCUAGAGUUAAUACAUGCAUUAAAGCUCUGACCUCACGGGAAGAGUGCAUUUAUUAGAACAAAACCAAGCGGCUUCGGCUGUUUCUGGUUGACUCAUAGUAACUGAGCUGAUCGCAUGGUCUUGCACCGGCGACGUGUCUUUCAAGUAUCUGCCGUAUCAACUUUCGAUGGUAGUGUAUCUGACUACCAUGGUGAUCGCGCGUAACGGAGAAUAAGGGUUCGGCUCCGGAGAGUUCGCCUGAGAAAUCGCGAACACAUCUAAGGAAGGCAGCAGGCGCGAAAAUUACCCACUCUCAGCACGAGGAGGUAGUGACGAAAAAUAACGAGACCGUUCUCUUAUGAGGCCGGUCAUCGGAAUGGGUACAAUUUAAACCCUUUAACGAGUAUCUAUGAGAGGGCAAGUCUGGUGCCAGCAGCCGCGGUAAUUCCAGCUCUCAAAGUGCAUAGAAUUAUUGCUGCGGUUAAAAAGCUCGUAGUUGGAUCUGUGCCAUAGGACGUGGUCCACCUUCGGGUGCGUACUACGCUCCUAGGCUUUUUGCUGGUUUUCCCGUCGUAGCCUUCACUGGUUGCGGCGGGUGGCUGGCGAGUUUACUUUGAGAAAAUCAGAGUGCUCAAUACAGGCGUAUCGCUUGAAUGAUUGUGCAUGGAAUAAUAGAAAAGGAUUUCGGUCCUCUUUUAUUGGUUUUGUGGACUGAGAUAAUGGUUAACAGGGACAAACGGGGGCAUUCGUAUCUCUGCGUGAGAGGUGAAAUUCUUGGACCGUAGAGAGACGCCCUACUGCGAAAGCAUUUGCCAAGAAUG